This is a long non-coding RNA of Rhododendron vialii, 381 nucleotides long. RefSeq lists it as uncharacterized. The transcript has 2 exons. The record is from RefSeq and is a predicted model, not a curated record. Lineage: Eukaryota; Viridiplantae; Streptophyta; Magnoliopsida; Ericales; Ericaceae.
GGGAUACAUUUGUAAAUCGUUGCAGAACAUUGUAAACUUGGAUUAGAAAAGCAAUAAAACAAAAAGGCGGUUGAAUUUGAAGUGCAUGGGUUAAAAAGCACGUUGAUAGAUCUAGUAGCACAAGCUAAGAGAAGAGGAGAAAGAAUUUGGUCUAAAUACGAUAUCGUCAUUCGAUGACAAUGUUAAAAACUAAAUACGAUAAUUUCUCAUUGUGUCUUCAUAAUUUGGAUGAAAGGAAAUGAAGAAUGGUUUUUUGGUCUAAAUACGAGAGUAUCAAAUGAAGAAUGGUAGGAGAGAACGCAUUCUUCAUUUUAAAGAUUCGGACAACGAUUCUGAAAGAAUGAAGGUAUUUGUUGGCGAAGCUCUAAGCCUCUAGCCAGA